This 468-nucleotide ribosomal RNA is filed under the name uncultured bacterium. Its description in RNAcentral is "partial 16S ribosomal RNA". It matches the Rfam family "Bacterial small subunit ribosomal RNA", at positions 28 to 507 of the family's 1533-position model. The record is from RNAcentral.
GACGAACGCUGGCGGCGUGCUUAACACAUGCAAGUCGAACGGAAAGGCCCUGCUUUUGUGGGGUUCUCGAGUGGCGAACGGGUGAGUAACACGUGAGUAUCCUGCCCUUGACUUUUGGAUAACUUCAGGAAACUGGGGCUAAUACCGGAUAGGAUCUCCUGCUGCAUGUUGGGGGUUGGAAAGUUUCGGCGGUUGGGGCUGGACUCGCGGCUUAUCAGCUUGUUGGUGGGGUAGUGGCUUACCAAGGCUUUGACGGGUAGCCGGCCUGAGAGGGUGACCGGCCAAAUUGGGACUGAGAUACGGCCCAGACUCCUACGGGAGGCAGCAGUGGGGAAUAUUGCACAAUGGGCGGAAGCCUGAUGCAGAAACGCCGCGUGCGGGAUGACGGCCUUCGGGUUGUAAACCGCUUUCGCAUGUGACGAAGAGUGAGUGACGGUAAUGGGUAAAGAAGCACCGGCUAACUACGUG